Molecule: ribosomal RNA, 1369 nt
Filed under: Lethal wilt oil palm phytoplasma
Lineage: Bacteria; Bacillati; Mycoplasmatota; Mollicutes; Acholeplasmatales; Acholeplasmataceae
Description: partial 16S ribosomal RNA
Rfam family: Bacterial small subunit ribosomal RNA
Source: RNAcentral
UUGCCCCUUCCUCCUCCCUCUGCCUGCCGACCCAAUUCCCUCCCUUCCUUAUGGGAGGGGCGGAAUUGACCCGCUAUAAAUGGAACCAUCGCACCGCUCGAUCCCCAGUGGGAAAUAGGUCCAAACUUAAUUUUAAAGUCCGCUCGAUUCUAUAGAAAGGCCUGCCGUCCAUUAGUUGGUGGUGGGUAAGAUUUACCAAGACGAAGAUCCUACCCGACUGAAGAGUGACCCGGCCCCAUGGGAUUGAGACCCGCCCAAACUCGUAGGGGAGCAGCAGUAGGUAUUUUGCGCAGUGGGGAAUCUCCUGACCGAGCAGCGCGCGUAGAAUGACGAAGCACUUCGAUGAGUAAGUUUUUUUGAUAAGGAAGAUUUUUAUAUAUAGGAAAUGAUAUGUAAGUGACGGUACUUAAUGAAUCAGCCCCGGCUAAUUAUGUGCCAGCAGCCGCUGUAAUACAUAGGGGCCAAGUGUUCUCCGGAAUUAUUGGGCGUAAAGGGUGAGUAGGCGGUAGAUUAUGUCUGUGGUGUAAGUGCAGUGCUUAACGCUGUGAUGCUAAAGAAACUGGUUUACUAGAGUUAGAUAGAGGCAAGUGGAAUUCCAUGUGUAGCGGUAAAAUGCGUAAAUAUGUGGAGGCACACCAGUGGCGAAGGCGGCUUGCUGGGUCUAUACUGACGGUGAGGCACGAAAGCGUGGGGAGCAAACAGGAUUAGAUACCCUGGUAGUCCACGCCGUAAGCGAUGAGUACUAAGUGUGGGAGAACUUCAGUGCUGUAGUUAACGCAAUAAGUACUCCGCAUGAGUAGUACGUACGCAAGUAUGAAACUCAAAGGAAUUGACGGGACCCCGCACAAGCGGUGGAUCAUGUUGUUUAAUUCGAAGAUACGCGAAGAACCUUACCAGGUCUUGACAUACCCAGCAAAGCUAUAGAGAUAUAGUGGAGGUUAUCUGAGACACAGGUGGUGCAUGGUUGUCGUCAGCUCGUGUCGUGAGAUGUUGGGUUAAGUCCCGCAACGAGCGCAACCCUUAUUGCUAGUUACCAUCAUUAAGUUGGGGACUCUAGCGAGACUCCCAGUGAUAAACUGGAGGAAGGUGGGGAUGACGUCAUAUCAUCAUGCCCCUUAUGACCUGGGCCACAAACGUGAUACAAUGGGUGACACAAAGGGCAGCAAGAUAGUGAUAGUAAGCGAAACCCAUAAAAGCAUUCUCAGUUCGGAUUGAUGUCUGCAACUAGAUUUCAUGAAGCGGGAAUCGCUAGUAAUCGCGAAUCAGAACGUCGCGGUGAAUACGUUCUCGGGGUUUGUACACACCGCCCGUCAACCCGCGAAAGUCAGCUAAUACCCAACGCCGGGGCCUAACCGUAAUGACGGCACCC